Regulatory RNA element from Thermoanaerobacter pseudethanolicus ATCC 33223, 60 nucleotides. It matches the Rfam family "Fluoride riboswitch aptamer (crcB RNA motif)". Lineage: Bacteria; Bacillati; Bacillota; Clostridia; Thermoanaerobacterales; Thermoanaerobacteraceae. The record is from Rfam.
UUAAAUAACGGUGAUGAAGCUCACCUUAUUGCCGUGAAGGCUAAUGGCUUCUACGCGCUU